RNAcentral lists this ribosomal RNA (600 nucleotides) under Paracymus sp. 1 MTM-2009. RNAcentral describes it as "eukaryotic LSU rRNA". It matches the Rfam family "Eukaryotic large subunit ribosomal RNA", at positions 663 to 1225 of the family's 3401-position model. The record is from RNAcentral. Lineage: Eukaryota; Metazoa; Arthropoda; Insecta; Coleoptera; Hydrophilidae.
GGACCAAGGAGUCUAGCAUGUGCGCGAGUCAUUGGGACUAGCGAAACCUAAAGGCGUAAUGAAAGUGAAGGCUCGCCUCGCGCGUGCCGAGGGAGGAUGGGUCGUAUCACGAUACGGCCCCGCACUCCCGGGGCGUCUCGUUCUCAUUACGAGAAGAGGCGCACCCAGAGCGUACACGCUGGGACCCGAAAGAUGGUGAACUAUGCCUGGUCAGGACGAAGUCAGGGGAAACCCUGAUGGAGGUCCGUAGCGAUUCUGACGUGCAAAUCGAUCGUCGGAACUGGGUAUAGGGGCGAAAGACUAAUCGAACCAUCUAGUAGCUGGUUCCCUCCGAAGUUUCCCUCAGGAUAGCUGGCGCUCGCUUUGCGAGUCUCAUCCGGUAAAGCGAAUGAUUAGAGGCAUUGGGGUCGAAACGGCCUCAACCUAUUCUCAAACUUUAAAUGGGUGAGAUCUCCGGCUUGCUCGAACUUGAAGCCGCGAGAUUUCGGAUCAGAGUGCCAAGUGGGCCACUUUUGGUAAGCAGAACUGGCGCUGUGGGAUGAACCAAACGCCGAGUUAAAGCGCCUAAAUCGACGCUUAUGGGAUACCAUGAAAGGCGUU